Molecule: ribosomal RNA, 253 nt
Filed under: uncultured bacterium
Lineage: Bacteria
Description: partial 16S ribosomal RNA
Rfam family: Bacterial small subunit ribosomal RNA
Source: RNAcentral
UACGAAGGGGGCUAGCGUUGUUCGGAAUUACUGGGCGUAAAGGGCGCGUAGGCGGUUGCUCAAGUCAGGCGUGAAAGCCCCGGGCUCAACCUGGGAAUAGCGCUUGAGACUGGGCGGCUUGAGUUCGGGAGAGGUGAGUGGAAUUCCCAGUGUAGAGGUGAAAUUCGUAGAUAUUGGGAAGAACACCAGUGGCGAAGGCGGCUCACUGGACCGACACUGACGCUGAGGCGCGAAAGCGUGGGGAGCAAACAGG